This 74-nucleotide non-coding RNA is filed under the name Schistosoma mansoni. Lineage: Eukaryota; Metazoa; Platyhelminthes; Trematoda; Strigeidida; Schistosomatidae. The record is from RNAcentral.
UGUUUAACUCCGCCUGUAGCCCAUGCGGAGGCUACUGCCGGUCCCAAGCCCGGAUAAAGGAGGAGGGUUGGGCA